This 352-nucleotide ribosomal RNA is filed under the name uncultured bacterium. RNAcentral's name for it is "bacterial SSU rRNA". It matches the Rfam family "Bacterial small subunit ribosomal RNA", at positions 29 to 371 of the family's 1533-position model. The record is from RNAcentral.
AAUGAACGCUGGCGGCGCGCCUAAUACAUGCAAGUCGAGCGAGAAGACGUAGCAAUACGUUUGUAAAGCGGCGAACGGGUGAGGAAUACAUGGGUAACCUACCCUCGAGUGGGGAAUAACUAGCCGAAAGGUUAGCUAAUACCGCGUACGCUUCUUGGACUUCGGUUCAGGGAGGAAAGCGAUACCGUGGGUAUCGCGCUCUUGGAUGGGCUCAUGUCCUAUCAGCUUGUUGGUGAGGUAACGGCUCACCAAGGCUUCGACGGGUAGCUGGUCUGAGAGGACGAUCAGCCACACUGGCACUGCGACACGGGCCAGACUCCUACGGGAGGCAGCAGUAAGGAAUAUUGCGCAA